This 253-nucleotide ribosomal RNA is filed under the name uncultured bacterium. RNAcentral's name for it is "partial 16S ribosomal RNA". It matches the Rfam family "Bacterial small subunit ribosomal RNA", at positions 524 to 776 of the family's 1533-position model. The record is from RNAcentral.
UACGAAGGGGGCUAGCGUUGCUCGGAAUCACUGGGCGUAAAGGGUGCGUAGGCGGUUCUUUAAGUCAGGGGUGAAAUCCUGGAGCUCAACUCCAGAACUGCCUUUGAUACUGAGGAUCUUGAGUUCGGGAGAGGUGAGUGGAACUGCGAGUGUAGAGGUGAAAUUCGUAGAUAUUCGCAAGAACACCAGUGGCGAAGGCGGCUCGCUGGCCCGAUACUGACGCUGAGGCACGAAAGCGUGGGGAGCAAACAGG